Molecule: ribosomal RNA, 400 nt
Filed under: uncultured bacterium
Lineage: Bacteria
Description: partial 16S ribosomal RNA
Rfam family: Bacterial small subunit ribosomal RNA
Source: RNAcentral
CCUACGGGAGGCAGCAGUGGGGAAUAUUGCACAAUGGGGGAAACCCUGAUGCAGCGACGCCGCGUGAGGGAAGAAGUAUUUCGGGAGGUAAAGCUCUAUCAGCAGGGAAGAAAAUGACGGUACCUGAUUAAGAAGCCCCGGCUAACGACGUGCCAGCAGCCGCGGUAAUACGUAGGGGGCAAGAGUUAGCCGGAUUUACUGGGUCGAAAGGGAGCGUAGACGGCAGCACAAGUCUGGAGUGAAAUGCCGGGGCUUAACACAGGAACUGCUUUGGAAACUGUGCAGCUAGAGUGCAGGAGAGGUAAGUGGAAUUCCUAGUGUAGCGGUGAAAUGCGUAGAUAUUAGGAGGAACACCAGUGGCGACGGCGGCUUACUGGACUGUAACUGACGUUGAGGCUCG